GGAUGAACGCUGGCGGCGUGCCUAACACAUGCAAGUCGAACGGAUCCAUAUUGAAACCUAGUGAUGUAUGGAUUAGUGGCGGACGGGUGAGUAACGCGUGGAUAACCUGCCGUAUACAGGGGGAUAACACUUAGAAAUAGGUGCUAAUACCGCAUAAGCGCACGGUUCCGCAUGGAACAGUGUGAAAAACUCCGGUGGUAUACGAUGGAUCCGCGUCUGAUUAGCCAGUUGGCGGGGUAACGGCCCACCAAAGCGACGAUCAGUAGCCGGCCUGAGAGGGUGAACGGCCACAUUGGGACUGAGACACGGCCCAAACUCCUACGGGAGGCAGCAGUGGGGAAUAUUGCACAAUGGGGGAAACCCUGAUGCAGCGACGCCGCGUGAGUGAAGAAGUAUCUCGGUACGUAAAGCUCUAUCAGCAGGGAAGAAAAAAAGUCCUUUGGACUUUGGACGGUACCUGACCAAGAAGCCCCGGCUAACUACGUGCCAGCAGCCGCGGUAAUACGUAGGGGG
This 513-nucleotide ribosomal RNA is filed under the name uncultured bacterium. RNAcentral's name for it is "bacterial SSU rRNA". It matches the Rfam family "Bacterial small subunit ribosomal RNA", at positions 27 to 534 of the family's 1533-position model. The record is from RNAcentral.